GUGAGGAAUAUUGCCCAAUGGACGCAAGUCUGAGGCAGCAACGCCGCGUGGGCGACGAAGGCCUUCGGGUUGUAAAGCCCUUUUCCGGGGGACGAGACAGGACGGUACCCCGGGAAUAAGUCACGGCUAACUACGUGCCAGCAGCCGCGGUAAUACGUAGGUGGCCAGCGUUAUCCGGAUUUAUUGGGCGUAAAGCGCGUGCAGGCGGUUUCGUAAGUCGGACGUGAAAGCUCCUGGCUUAACUGGGAGAGGUCGUUCGAUACUGCGGGGCUUGAGGUCGGGAGAGGGACGUGGAAUUCCCGGUGUAGUGGUGGAAUGCGUAGAUAUCGGGAGGAACACCAGUGGCGAAGGCGACGUCCUGGCCCGCACCUGACGCUAAAGCGCGAAAGCGUGGGUAGCGAACGGGAUUAGAAACCCGGGUAGUCC
This 426-nucleotide ribosomal RNA is filed under the name uncultured bacterium. RNAcentral's name for it is "bacterial SSU rRNA". It matches the Rfam family "Bacterial small subunit ribosomal RNA", at positions 354 to 796 of the family's 1533-position model. The record is from RNAcentral.